RNAcentral lists this ribosomal RNA (492 nucleotides) under uncultured bacterium. RNAcentral describes it as "partial 16S ribosomal RNA". It matches the Rfam family "Bacterial small subunit ribosomal RNA", at positions 29 to 507 of the family's 1533-position model. The record is from RNAcentral.
AGUGAACGCUGGCGGUAGGCCUAACACAUGCAAGUCGAACGGCAGCACAGUAAGAGCUUGCUCUUACGGGUGGCGAGUGGCGGACGGGUGAGGAAUACAUCGGAAUCUACUUUUUCGUGGGGGAUAACGUAGGGAAACUUACGCUAAUACCGCAUACGACCUACGGGUGAAAGCAGGGGAUCUUCGGACCUUGCGCGAUUGAAUGAGCCGCUGUCGGAUUAGCUAGUUGGCGGGGUAAAGGCCCACCAAGGCGCCGAUCCGUAGCUGGUCUGAGAGGAUGAUCAGCGACACUGGAACUGAGACACGGUCCAGACUCCUACGGGAGGCAGCAGUGGGGAAUAUUGGACAAUGGGCGCAAGCCUGAUCCAGCCAUACCGCGUGGGUGAAGAAGGCCUUCGGGUUGUAAAGCCCUUUUGUUGGGAAAGAAAAGCAGCAGGUUAAUACCCCGCUGUUCUGACGGUACCCAAAGAAGAAGCACCGGCUAACUUCGUG